CGGCGGAGCCAGCGGGCGACGGGAGCGAGCCAGGCUGACGUGGGCCAGCUGACCAGGGCUGGCGGGCCGUGCCUGCCCUGCCUCGCCAUGGACCAGGACUAUGAGCGGCGCCUCCUCCGGCAGAUCGUCAUCCAGAAUGAGAACACAAUGCCGUGCGUGGCGGAGAUGCGACGAACCCUGACACCAGCCAACUCCCCCGUGUCCUCCCCCAGCAAGCACGGAGACCGCUUCAUCCCCUCGAGAGCUGGUGCCAACUGGAGCGUGAAUUUCCACAGAAUCAACGAAAAUGAGAAAUCUCCCAGCCAAAACCGGAAAGCCAAGGACGCCACCUCAGACAACGGGAAAGAUGGCCUGGCCUACUCAGCUCUGCUGAAGAAUGAACUGCUCGGUGCUGGAAUCGAAAAGGUGCAGGACCCACAGACGGAGGACCGCAGACUGCAGCCCUCCACGCCCGAGAGGAAGGGCCUCUUCACGUAUUCCCUCAGCACCAAGCGCUCCAGCCCCGAGGACGGCAAUGACGUGUCCCCCUACUCCCUGUCCCCCGUCAGCAACAAAAGUCAGAAGUUACUGCGGUCACCGCGGAAACCCACCCGCAAGAUCUCCAAGAUCCCCUUCAAGGUCCUGGACGCGCCCGAGCUGCAGGAUGACUUCUACCUGAACCUGGUGGACUGGUCGUCUCUCAAUGUGCUCAGUGUGGGGCUGGGGACCUGCGUGUACCUGUGGAGCGCCUGCACCAGCCAGGUGACCCGGCUCUGUGACCUCUCUGUGGAAGGAGACUCGGUGACCUCUGUGGGCUGGUCUGAGCGGGGGAACCUGGUGGCCGUGGGCACACACAAGGGCUUCGUGCAGAUCUGGGACGCAGCCGCAGGAAAGAAGCUGUCCAUGCUGGAAGGCCACACAGCACGCGUCGGGGCGCUGGCCUGGAACGCCGACCAGCUCUCAUCCGGGAGCCGGGACCGCAUGAUCCUGCAGAGGGACAUCCGCACACCGCCCCUGCAGUCAGAGCGGCGGCUGCAGGGCCACCGGCAGGAGGUGUGCGGGCUCAAGUGGUCCACGGACCACCAGCUCCUCGCCUCGGGGGGCAACGACAACAAGCUGCUGGUCUGGAACCACUCGAGCCUGAGCCCCGUGCAGCAGUACACGGAGCACCUGGCGGCCGUGAAGGCCAUCGCCUGGUCCCCACACCAGCACGGGUUGCUGGCAUCCGGCGGCGGCACAGCUGACCGCUGCAUCCGCUUCUGGAACACACUCACGGGGCAGCCACUGCAGUGCAUUGACACCGGCUCCCAGGUUUGCAACCUGGCCUGGUCCAAGCACGCCAACGAGCUGGUGAGCACGCAUGGCUACUCGCAGAACCAGAUCCUGGUCUGGAAGUACCCGUCCCUGACCCAGGUGGCCAAGCUGACCGGGCACUCCUACAGGGUCCUGUACCUGGGCAUGAGGACACAGGGCGCCUCCUCCUCCCACAGGCCAUGUCCCCUGAUGGAGAGGCCAUAGUCACUGGUGCUGGAGAUGAAACCCUGAGAUUCUGGAAUGUCUUUAGCAAAACCCGUUCAACAAAGGUAAAGUGGGAAUCCGUGUCUGUCCUCAACCUCUUCACCAGGAUCCGGUAAACCCGUGGCCGUGCUGUCCUGGUCUCAGAACACCACCUCUUGUCAGCGUGCAUGGACCCUCCCCUCCCCUGCAUACAGGCCCCAGAGGAAGGCAGCCGGGGUGGGGCGGGAGCCGGGCCUGGAGAGACCCCGAAGAUUCUAUUAAAGCCUGAUUGCGAACUCUGUCAGCCGGUGUUUGGGGAGGGGCUGCGGUCGGGCACCCCAGGAAUGGGGACUCCGGCUCCCUCCGCCCUGGGUGGCCCCGGCUCAGCCGGCUGUGCUCCUGUGCUCCGAGCGGAUGGACACGGGAUGGACGUCUCCUGGGACUCCGCCUGCUUCCAUCUGUGUCUGUCACUGCCUUGCUGGGGCUGCAUGCUCUUCCCGGAAGCGCGCGCUCCCCACCGCGCGUACCUGCUCCAGGACAGACAGCUGGGUGUCCGGGGACAGCUCAGACCUGCCCAUGGAUCAAAGGGACAUUCCACUUGAGAGGUUUCUCUGCAGCCACCUCUGCGUGUCCCUGCCCUGGCAGCCAUCCUGGUGACUUCUCCGGGGGCACGGCGUCGGGAGCAGGCCCCAGGCAGGCUGCAUGCCGAAGGUCAUCUCAAGAUGGACUUGUCCAAGGAAAAUGGAAGUCAGAUCUGUUCGCCAUCAUGUGCUCACCCCUCCUGAGCUGUCCUUGUCACUGACAGUCACAACCGACUGGUUCUUGCAGCUUGCUGGGCGGCCGGUCAGGGUAACCUGAGGGCAGAACUGACCCCGAGGGCCAGGUCCUGUGGACACCUGGCACUCUUCCCCAGCCCCUCCCCCUCCGGGCCACCCUAGUGGCUCCUGUCCAUCUGCACCUUCAGCCAGGGGCGGGGCACCCGCUGGUUCUCCUCAGGGCUUCCCCUGACCCUGGGUGUCCUCUGCCCUGUUCCUGACUGCACCUGGGCCCACCCUCCUCCAGAUUCACCUCCAGACCUGGCGGAAACAGAGGGAGGGAGGCGGGGCCAGGGCCCUGGGCAGCUGCUCUUCCCCUCCUCCCCUCCCUCCCUCUCCCCUCCUCGGGUCAGAGGACACUGAUGGAAGUGGACAGUGGAAUAGGCCUGGGCGGGGUGGGGAUCCAGCAUGGCCCAGGGAAGGCCACAGAGUCCCCCGGUCAUGCCGGCUCUGCUUGGAGCCCCCACUCCUCCAGGGUCUGAGAACCUUGUGCUCCCCCAGAGUCAGCCACACGUGUGCAUGUGUAUAUAUGUAUUUGUGACUUUCUUUGGAUUUGUCUUUGUGUUUUUGUAAAUCAGUCCUCAGAUGUUAAGGCUAGCGGCAGGGAGCAGUGGCUCGUCCCAGCUCCUUUGGGAGUGGAGGUCACAGCUUUUAAAGCCCUAUCAUUGGGAGGGGCAGUGGGCUGAACCUGCCUGAACUCGGGGAAGAGGGGGCUCCCGCCUCCCCGCCCAUCCCGCAGCUGCCUGCGUGGGGGUGGGCGAGGGGCAGUGUACACAGAUGCCCAUCCCACCUGCCUGCGUGGCGGGGGAGGGGCAUGGCAAGGGACAGUGUACAUAGAUGUGUAAGUAUUCCGGAUGGUCGAGAUUCUAUUUUUGUUUGAGUUUUGGUUUUUUUUUUUUUAAUAAGAAAAGGAUUAUGUCUGUACUGCACCCCACCCUGGCUCUGCUUGUAGGCUCCUCGCCUGGGAGCACAGAGGGGGCUUGAAACGAUGAAAAGUGUUGUCAGCGGGCGCGGUGGCAGGGCCGAGUGCGGGAGCGGGCAAUGUGCAGGCACCUGGUGCGGGUGAGCCUUGCUCCUCCUGGAAUGCAGUGUCGCAGCCAUUAAACCAUGUGGGUCAUGCA
Molecule: non-coding RNA, 3412 nt
Organism: Vicugna pacos (alpaca)
Lineage: Eukaryota; Metazoa; Chordata; Mammalia; Artiodactyla; Camelidae
Source: RefSeq, a predicted model, not a curated record